This 237-nucleotide ribosomal RNA is filed under the name uncultured bacterium. RNAcentral's name for it is "partial 16S ribosomal RNA". It matches the Rfam family "Bacterial small subunit ribosomal RNA", at positions 524 to 761 of the family's 1533-position model. The record is from RNAcentral.
UACGAAGGGGCUAGCGUUGCUCGGAAUUACUGGGCGUAAAGCGCACGUAGGCGGAUCUUUAAGUCAGGGGUGAAAUCCUGGAGCUCAACUCCAGAACUGCCUUUGAUACUGAGGACCUUGAGUUCGGGAGAGGUGAGUGGAACUGCGAGUGUAGAGGUGAAAUUCGUAGAUAUUCGCAAGAACACCAGUGGCGAAGGCGGCUCACUGGCCCGAUACUGACGCUGAGGUGCGAAAGCG